UACGGAGGGUGCAAGCAUUAAUCGGAUUUAUUGGGCGUAAAGGGCGCGUAGGCGGAUGUGUAAGUCAGAUGUGAAAUCCCGGGGCUCAACCUCGGAACAGCAUAUGAAACUGCACACCUAGAGGGUAGGCGGAGAAAACGGAAUUCCACAAGUAGCGGUGAAAUGCGUAGAUAUGUGGAAGAACACCGGUGGCGAAGGCGGUUUUCUAGCUUAAACCUGACGCUGAGGCGCGAAAGCAAGGGGAUCAAACAGG
RNAcentral lists this ribosomal RNA (253 nucleotides) under uncultured bacterium. RNAcentral describes it as "partial 16S ribosomal RNA". It matches the Rfam family "Bacterial small subunit ribosomal RNA", at positions 524 to 776 of the family's 1533-position model. The record is from RNAcentral.